GCGGUUCUGCUUCUCGGCGGCCUUGUGUGCCUGGAG
RNAcentral lists this non-coding RNA (36 nucleotides) under Alexandrium monilatum. Lineage: Eukaryota; Dinophyceae; Gonyaulacales; Pyrocystaceae. The record is from RNAcentral.